UUAUUAGGUUGUCCUUGUCAUUACAACAAGUACAUAAUACAUUCUUAUAACAUUGUUAAUAUUGAUAGUUGAACAAGGCUUUCUGCCGAAGCUUAAUAACUCUUGUCAAUAAUGUGUUGUGUGAUUGCUCACACAACGGUGCACAGGUGUUGGUAAUGGAUAGAGAAGGAGAGUCCGAAGACUACAAUUUCACUAAUGAUCCUUCCGCAGGUUCACCUACGGAAA
This 225-nucleotide unclassified non-coding RNA is filed under the name uncultured fungus. RNAcentral describes it as "sequence contains ITS1". The record is from RNAcentral. Lineage: Eukaryota; Fungi.